Molecule: ribosomal RNA, 466 nt
Filed under: Fusarium graminearum
Lineage: Eukaryota; Fungi; Ascomycota; Sordariomycetes; Hypocreales; Nectriaceae
Description: eukaryotic LSU rRNA
Rfam family: 5.8S ribosomal RNA (bases 115-268)
Source: RNAcentral
CCUUAUGUUGCCUCGGCGGAUCAGCCCGCGCCCCGUAAAAAGGGACGGCCCGCCGCAGGAACCCUAAACUCUGUUUUUAGUGGAACUUCUGAGUAUAAAAAACAAAUAAAUCAAAACUUUCAACAACGGAUCUCUUGGUUCUGGCAUCGAUGAAGAACGCAGCAAAAUGCGAUAAGUAAUGUGAAUUGCAGAAUUCAGUGAAUCAUCGAAUCUUUGAACGCACAUUGCGCCCGCCAGUAUUCUGGCGGGCAUGCCUGUUCGAGCGUCAUUUCAACCCUCAAGCCCAGCUUGGUGUUGGGAGCUGCAGUCCUGCUGCACUCCCCAAAUACAUUGGCGGUCACGUCGAGCUUCCAUAGCGUAGUAAUUUACACAUCGUUACUGGUAAUCGUCGCGGCCACGCCGUUAAACCCCAACUUCUGAAUGUUGACCUCGGAUCAGGUAGGAAUACCCGCUGAACUUAAGCAUA